CUACUGAUGAAGAGACUUAGAAUAGGACGAAACACAUGUCCAGUAC
This 46-nucleotide non-coding RNA is filed under the name Trichobilharzia regenti. The record is from RNAcentral. Lineage: Eukaryota; Metazoa; Platyhelminthes; Trematoda; Strigeidida; Schistosomatidae.